RNAcentral lists this ribosomal RNA (364 nucleotides) under Pseudomonadota bacterium. RNAcentral describes it as "partial 23S ribosomal RNA". It matches the Rfam family "Bacterial large subunit ribosomal RNA", at positions 1 to 345 of the family's 2925-position model. RNAcentral also lists the same sequence under 1 other name. The record is from RNAcentral. Lineage: Bacteria; Pseudomonadati; Pseudomonadota.
CGUCAAGCGAGGAUGGGCGCACGGUGGAUGCCUUGGCGUCAGGAGCCGACGAAGGACGCUGCCGGCGGCGAAAGGUCCGGGGAGCUGCCGAGCAAGCUGCGAUCCGGACGUCUCCGAAUGGGGAAACCCGGCGGGGGUCAUGCCCCGUCACCCACCGCGGAAUCCAUAGGCGGUGCGGAGGGAACCCGGGGAACUGAAACAUCUCAGUACCCGGAGGAAAAGAAAUCAACCGAGAUUCCCUGAGUAGUGGCGAGCGAAAGGGGAGGUAGCCCAAACCCCGCGGGUGCCAAGCCCGCAGGCGUUGCCCGCGGGGGGUUGUGGGACGCGGUCGGACCGGGCUGCGGACCGGUCGGGAAGUUACCAA